CCCUUAGAUGUUCUGGGCCGUACGCGCGCUACACUGAUGCAUUCAACGAGUCUAAAACCUGCUCUGAUAGGGGUGGGUAAUCUUUUGAAUGUGCAUCGUGAUUGGGAUAGAUGAUUGCAAUUUUUCAUCUUCAACGAGGAAUGCCUAGUAAACGCAAGUCAUCAGCUUGCAUUGAUUACGUCCCUGCCCUUUGUACACACCGCCCGUCGCUCCUACCGAUUGAAUGAUCCGAUGAAUAUCAUGGAUUGAGGAUGCAAGCAGGUUCGCCUGUCUUCAUCUUCUAGAAGUGAAGUAAAUCUUAUCAUUUAGAGGAAGGAGAAGUCGUAACA
Molecule: ribosomal RNA, 329 nt
Filed under: uncultured eukaryote
Lineage: Eukaryota
Description: partial 18S ribosomal RNA
Rfam family: Eukaryotic small subunit ribosomal RNA
Source: RNAcentral